GUAUCAUUUGCAUGGGCAGGCUAUGCUUCGAGGUGGACACCGGGGCCGGCGUCGUAGAGCUGGUUGAAGGAGUGUCCCAGAUCUUCUUCGACGAUUCGCUCACGCUUCUAGGGACGUGCAUGAAGGAAGGAGCUAUUCGACGUUUUGAUUACAUGUGAUGAGCUCUAUGCAUGGUUGUACUCUAUUUGUGGUUUGGACUCUAUGUGUGAACUUGUAUUUUAUUUGUGGUUUGGACUAUGUGUGAACUUGUAUGAUCUUAUUAUGGACAUAUGCACUCUAUUUGUGGCUUUGGUUCUUGUAUGCACUUAUUAUGGACAUAUGUUGUGUUGUUUGAUCUUGUAUGUGAUCUAUUUGUGGCAAUAGAUCAUUAUAUUGUGCAUUACAUGUUAUAUGAAUUGAAUUAUGUC
Molecule: long non-coding RNA, 407 nt
Organism: Lolium rigidum
Lineage: Eukaryota; Viridiplantae; Streptophyta; Magnoliopsida; Poales; Poaceae
Exons: 2
Source: RefSeq, a predicted model, not a curated record